GACGAACGCUGGCGGCGUACCUAAUACAUGCAAGUCGAGCGGACUUUCAAGAAGCUUGCUUUUUGAAAGUUAGCGGCGGACGGGUGAGUAACACGUGGGCAACCUGCCUGUAAGACGGGGAUAACUCCGGGAAACCGGGGCUAAUACCGGAUAAUAUCUUUCUUCGCAUGAAGGAAGGUUGAAAGGCGGCGCAAGCUGCCGCUUGCAGAGGGGCCGGCGGCGCAUUAGCUAGUUGGUGAGGUAACGGCUCACCAAGGCGACGAUGCGUAGCCGACCUGAGAGGGUGAUCGGCCACACUGGGACUGAGACACGGCCCAGACUCCUACGGGAGGCAGCAGUAGGGAAUCUUCCGCAAUGGACGAAAGUCUGACGGAGCAACGCCGCGUGAGCGAAGAAGGUCUUCGGAUCGUAAAGCUCUGUUGUCAGGGAAGAACAAGUACCGUUCGAAUAGGGCGGUACCUUGACGGUACCUGACCAGAAAGCCACGGCUAACUACGUGCCAGCCGCCGCCGUAA
Molecule: ribosomal RNA, 515 nt
Filed under: uncultured bacterium
Lineage: Bacteria
Description: partial 16S ribosomal RNA
Rfam family: Bacterial small subunit ribosomal RNA
Source: RNAcentral